GCCCAUUGUUACACAUCCUCAGGCAGGUGGCCCUGGGCCAUCCAGGGGUAGGAUUGAUUGUGGGACACCCAUGCAUCCUCACCACAACUCAGACUUUCUCCCCAUUAUGUCCCCAGGUUCUUCCCAAGGUGGCACAAUGGUGGCC
Molecule: small RNA, 145 nt
Filed under: Canis lupus familiaris (dog)
Lineage: Eukaryota; Metazoa; Chordata; Mammalia; Carnivora; Canidae
Description: microRNA mir-8832 (ENSCAFG00845026140.1)
Source: RNAcentral